RNAcentral lists this ribosomal RNA (497 nucleotides) under uncultured bacterium. Its description in RNAcentral is "partial 16S ribosomal RNA". It matches the Rfam family "Bacterial small subunit ribosomal RNA", at positions 28 to 507 of the family's 1533-position model. The record is from RNAcentral.
GAUGAACGCUGGCGGCGUGCCUAAUACAUGCAAGUCGAGCGAACAGAUGAGGAGCUUGCUCCUCUGACGUUAGCGGCGGACGGGUGAGUAACACGUGGAUAACCUACCUAUAAGACUGGGAUAACUUCGGGAAACCGGAGCUAAUACCGGAUAAUAUAUUGAACCGCAUGGUUCAAUAGUGAAAGACGGUUUUGCUGUCACUUAUAGAUGGAUCCGCGCCGCAUUAUCUAGUUGUUAAGGUAACGGCUUACCAAGGCAACGAUGCGUAGCCGACCUGAGAGGGGGAUCGCCCACACUGGAACUGAGACACGGUCCAGACUCCUACGGGAGGCAGCAGUAGGGAAUCUGCCGCAAUGGGCGAAAGCCUGACGGAGCAACGCCGCGUGAGUGAUGAAGGUCUUCGGAUCGUAAAACUCUGUUAUUAGGGAAGAACAAAUGUGUAAGUAACUAUGCACGUCUUGACGGUACCUAAUCAGAAAGCCACGGCUAACUACGUG